RNAcentral lists this ribosomal RNA (450 nucleotides) under uncultured bacterium. RNAcentral describes it as "partial 16S ribosomal RNA". It matches the Rfam family "Bacterial small subunit ribosomal RNA", at positions 354 to 796 of the family's 1533-position model. The record is from RNAcentral.
GUGGGGAAUAUUGGACAAUGGGCGAAAGCCUGAUCCAGCCAUGCCGCGUGUGUGAAGAAGGUCUUCGGAUUGUAAAGCACUUUAAGUUGGGAGGAAGGGUAGUAACCUAAUACGUUGCUACUUUGACGUUACCGACAGAAUAAGCACCGGCUAACUUCGUGCCAGCAGCCGCGGUAAUACGAAGGGUGCAAGCGUUAAUCGGAAUUACUGGGCGUAAAGCGCGCGUAGGUGGUUCAGUAAAUUGGAGGUGAAAGCCCCAGGCUCAAACUGGGAACAGCCUCCAAAACUGCAUGACUAGAGUACGGUAGAGGGUAGUGGAAGUUCCUGUGUAGCGGUGAAAUGCGUAGAUAUAGGAAAGAACACCAGUGGCGAAGGCGACUACCUGGACUGAUACUGACACUGAGGUGCGAAAGCGUGGGGAGCAAACAGGAUUAGAAACCCGAGUAGUCC